Molecule: ribosomal RNA, 370 nt
Filed under: uncultured organism
Description: bacterial SSU rRNA
Rfam family: Bacterial small subunit ribosomal RNA
Source: RNAcentral
CGUAGGGUGCGAGCGUUAAUCGGAAUUACUGGGCGUAAAGCGUGCGCAGGCGGUUUUGUAAGACAGAUGUGAAAUCCCCGGGCUCAACCUGGGACCUGCAUUUGUGACUGCAAGGCUAGAGUACGGUAGAGGGGGAUGGAAUUCCGCGUGUAGCAGUGAAAUGCGUAGAUAUGCGGAGGAACACCGAUGGCGAAGGCAAUCCCCUGGACCUGUACUGACGCUCAUGCACGAAAGCGUAGGGAGCAAACAGGAUUAGAUACCCUGGUAGUCCACGCCCUAAACGAUGUCAACUGGUUGUUGGGUCUUUACUGACUCAGUAACGAAGCUAACGCGUGAAGUUGACCGCCUGGGGAGUACGGCCGCAAGGUUG